AUGGUGAAUUCAAGUUCUUCUGAGGUCGUCAUCGAACUUGGUCAAAAAAACACGGCGUGGGUAGACGUUCACUCGACGGUCUUUGGCAACGGUCGUCGUACAUGGUUCGUAGAUGUUUGGGUCUUCCGUAGAGGUACUCGACGCACUCUGCAACUUGGCGUCCUCAACGUCCUGGUACUUGGCGUUCGGUGCGGUACUCGUCGAGCAAGAGGCAAAGUCAUGUUACUUGGCAUAUCCAAAGGGUACUUGGUCUUUGGUCAUAGGUACUUGACGGUCAUCAAUGUUGCAUCUGUGUACAUCGGAGCGGGGACUUGGCGAAAAACCCCAAAGGCGACGAGGCAAGGCGACGAAGGGAGCCUGCGACGGAGGAGAGGGAGACGAGCGCUGGGAGAUGGGCGGCUCUGGCCGGUCGUCCGGGUCGCGGAGGACGGUGGGGAGGCGUCGCAGGCCUGCUGGUCAGGAGCUCGAGGUGAUCGGGUUGGAGAAGGAGGGCAAGGUAGGGAGGACGAGGGAGAGAGGGAAAGAGGUGGCGGCGCUAUGGACCAGGGAGGACGACGGCUGCGGGCGCGGGGCCUCGCUCCUCCCCCUGGCGAUGCAAGGAAGAAGGAGGGGAUCGAGGGAGGGGCGCUGCGAGCGAGAGAGGUGGGGAUCGAGCAUGGUGGCGGCGCUGGGACUGGGAGAAAGAGGCUGCGAGGGAGAGAUGAGUGA
RNAcentral lists this ribosomal RNA (708 nucleotides) under Triticum aestivum (bread wheat). RNAcentral describes it as "partial small subunit ribosomal RNA". The record is from RNAcentral. Lineage: Eukaryota; Viridiplantae; Streptophyta; Magnoliopsida; Poales; Poaceae.